Panicum virgatum (switchgrass) is the source of this 371-nucleotide long non-coding RNA. RefSeq lists it as uncharacterized. The transcript is spliced from 2 exons. The record is from RefSeq and is a predicted model, not a curated record. NCBI's taxonomy places the organism in Eukaryota, Viridiplantae, Streptophyta, Magnoliopsida, Poales, Poaceae.
GUUCAACCGCAGCUGCCUCAACGACGCGCUGGCGGAGUGCGUCAUCAAGGCCUGAUCCAGAUGCAUGAUAUGUUAUGGCUAUCUAAAGAUAAUCGGGCUAUUGAAAGUUGGCCUGAUCAACAGCACGGACGACCUAUGUCAGGCCCAGACAUGAGCAGCAGUGGCUGAAGCUGAUGGCAAAUAAAGGACACGCUGGACUUACAUGGCGCCCGAGAUCCUGCUUGGCAUGGCCCAUGGUUGGACACUGCCUGCUGCAUCUUGUGCUCGUAGCUUUAUUGCAAUUAUGGUGGGAAGUGUGUAAGUCAUAUUCAGUGACAUUGCAAUUGGAUAUCUCCAAGGCCUUGGACCGUGUUAGUUGGGUUUUCCUUUUA